This is a long non-coding RNA of Syzygium oleosum, 811 nucleotides long. RefSeq lists it as uncharacterized. The transcript is spliced from 2 exons. The record is from RefSeq and is a predicted model, not a curated record. Lineage: Eukaryota; Viridiplantae; Streptophyta; Magnoliopsida; Myrtales; Myrtaceae.
ACAACCCGACGAAGGAACAUCAAAACAUAACAGUUCCCAUAAAAGUUGGGGGGGACGGGCUAGCCAAGAAGAAAAUAGAGAAUUGGUCCGUUGCGCCCUGGCGACCCAAUCGGCAACUUGAUUUGCGGAUCAGUUGCAGUGGGCCACAGUUAGGUUUGUGAAUUGGGCCAUUCGAACGUGCGCUUCUUUAAUCAAGACUUCCUCUUCCCAGCCGACUUCUCUCUGGUUCUGUAGCUUCUUCACUAUCUCAAGGCAGUUUGUUUCUAUUACAAUUUCCUGCGUUCUUCUGUCAACGAAGAAAGUCAGGGCAUGCAGCAAGGCUUGCAGUUCGAUGUGAAGCGACGAGAUUGCAGGGACUGUCUUGGUGAAACCGUUCAGCAACGAUCCAGCUUCAUUUCUGAGGAUUCCAGAAACCGCUCCUACUGCUGCAUCUUCAAGGAAAGAUCCGUCUAUGUUGAUUUUGAAGCAAUUUCUCAUCGGUGGUUUUCAACACAAAGACAGCUUCGAUCCAGGGGCAAAAGAGAAGGAGAUGCUCUACCGUUUCAGCUUCUUGAUCACAGAAGGGGCAUGCAUGUCGAGGUAAAAUCUUUCUCCUAUAGAGGUUGUCUGCAGUAGGGAGAGCAUUUUGGCAAACACUCCACAAAAAUAUUCUAACCUUGGGUGGGAUUUGUAAAUUCCAUAUUGUGCACCAUAGCUUGCGGGAUGGCUUGAAAGAUGAUGAUGCUUGCAUUGCAUUUUGUGUGUUUUCCUCUUGACGAAUCUGGUUGUACGCACUUUUCACCGAGAAGACCGCUGACUUUGUAGCUGUCCA